Molecule: non-coding RNA, 576 nt
Organism: Pelobates cultripes (western spadefoot toad)
Lineage: Eukaryota; Metazoa; Chordata; Amphibia; Anura; Pelobatidae
Source: the annotation of a GenBank genome assembly
AGGGCCUGCUCAGUGAGUUUACAUGUUAGAGGGAGUGGGGUAUAGUGACACAGUAACAGAGGGAUUGAGGGCCCUGCUCAGUGAGUUUACAUGUUAGAGGGAGUGGGGUAUAGUGACACAGUAACAGAGGGAUUGUGGGCCCUGCUCAGUGAGUUUACAUGUUAGAGGGAGUGGGGUAUAGUGACACAGUAACAGAGGGAUUGAGGGCCCUGCUCAGUGAGUUUACAUGUUAGAGGGAGUGGGGUAUAGUGACACAGUAACAGAGGGAUGAGGGCCUGCUCAGUGAGUUUACAUGUUAGAGGGAGUGGGGUAUAGUGACACAGUAACAGAGGGAUUGAGGGCCCUGCUCAGUGAGUUUACAUGUUAGAGGGAGUGGGGUAUAGUGACACAGUAACAGAGGGAUUGUGGGCCCUGCUCAGUGAGUUUACAUGUUAGAGGGAGUGGGGUAUAGUGACACAGUAACAGAGGGAUUGAGGACCUGCUCAGUGAGUUUACAUGUUAGAGGGAGUGGGGUAUAGUGACACAGUAACAGAGGGAUUGAGGGCCCUGCUCAGUGAGUUUACAUGUUAGAGGGAG